AUGGUUGUCGUCAGCUCGUGUCGUGAGAUGUUGGGUUAAGUCCGCAACGAGCGCAACCCUCGUCGUAUGUUGCCAGCACGUAAUGGUGGGAACUCAUAUGAGACUGCCGGGGUCAACUCGGAGGAAGGUGGGGAUGACGUCAAAUCAUCAUGCCCCUUAUGUCUUGGGCUUCACGCAUGCUACAAUGGCCGGUACAAAGGGCUGCGAUGUCGUAAGGCGGAGCGAAUCCCAAAAAGCCGGUCUCAGUUCGGAUUGAGGUCUGCAACUCGACCUCAUGAAGUCGGAGUCGCUAGUAAUCGCAGAUCAGCAACGCUGCGGUGAAUACGUUCCCGGGCCUU
This 338-nucleotide ribosomal RNA is filed under the name uncultured Agromyces sp. RNAcentral's name for it is "bacterial SSU rRNA". It matches the Rfam family "Bacterial small subunit ribosomal RNA", at positions 1045 to 1382 of the family's 1533-position model. The record is from RNAcentral. Lineage: Bacteria; Bacillati; Actinomycetota; Actinomycetes; Micrococcales; Microbacteriaceae.